RNAcentral lists this ribosomal RNA (413 nucleotides) under Lysobacteraceae bacterium. RNAcentral's name for it is "bacterial SSU rRNA". It matches the Rfam family "Bacterial small subunit ribosomal RNA", at positions 340 to 747 of the family's 1533-position model. The record is from RNAcentral. Lineage: Bacteria; Pseudomonadati; Pseudomonadota; Gammaproteobacteria; Lysobacterales; Lysobacteraceae.
UACGGGGGGCAGCAGUGGGGAAUCUUGCACAAUGGGCGCAAGCCUGAUCCAGCAAUGCCGCGUGAAUGAAGAAGGCCUUCGGGUUGUAAAGCUCUGUUGUCCGGAAAGAAAUCCUUGGCUUUUAUACGGGAGGGUGAUGACGGUACCGGAAGAAUAAGCACCGGCUAACUUCGUGCCAGCAGCCGCGGUAAUACGUAGGGGGCAAGCGUUAUUCGGAAUUACUGGGCGUAAAGCGUGCGUAGGCGGUUGUAUAAGUCAGAUGUGAAAUCCCGGGGCUCAACUUCGGAACUGCCUUUGAUACUGUAUAUCUUGAGUACGGUAGAGGUAAGUGGAAUUCCGAGUGUAGCGGUGAAAUGCGUAGAUAUUAGGAGAACACCAGUGGCGAAGGCGCUCACUUGGUCAGUACUGACGCU